RNAcentral lists this ribosomal RNA (254 nucleotides) under uncultured bacterium. Its description in RNAcentral is "partial 16S ribosomal RNA". It matches the Rfam family "Bacterial small subunit ribosomal RNA", at positions 524 to 776 of the family's 1533-position model. The record is from RNAcentral.
UACGUAGGGUGCGAGCGUUGUCCGGAAUUAUUGGGCGUAAAGAGCUCGUAGGCGGUGUGUCACGUCGGCCGUGAAAACCUGCAGCUUAACUGUGGGCGUGCGGUCGAUACGGGCAUCACUGGAGUUCGGCAGGGGAGACUGGAAUUCCUGGUGUAGCGGUGAAAUGCGCAGAUAUCAGGAGGAACACCGGUGGCGAAGGCGACUUCCUGGACCAAUACUGACGCUCAUGCACGAAAGCGUGGGGAGCAAACAGG